UGAAAAUCCAACAAGACUUUACACCAAUUUCUAUACAAGUGCAUCUUAUACUCGCUUUUUUUGCUCUUUCGACGGUCCAAAGAUAAUAUUGAAAUAUUCUACGAUAUUUUUAUGUAUAUCGAAAAUAUUUCUACAAAGAAUACGGAUAUUAUUAUAACGGCUUAGUGUAUAUAGAAUGUGAGAAAAGGAAAAAAAGAGUAGAAUAAGCGUAGGAUUAUUUGGCGGAUUGGCAUCGUUUCAUAGUCGAUAAAUAGCAGAGAAAUCUCGUUAACUCUCGGUCGCAGUGUUACAAGCUCGUGCUCGAAUUCGCGAUUAGCAAACGACUAUUGUACGCAUGCGAGUAUGAUUCGUUUUCAAAAGACUUUCUUUUCUUUUAUUAUUGAGCAGAUUGUUAACGCGAUAUUUGUCAAAAUCUAAAGCGGAAAAAGUGUUUUAUUUCCAUUCGAGAAAUCGAGAUUAUAUUGACAAUUAUUCAUGAAGCUUAAUUACAUGCAAUUAAAAACGAAGAAAACACGUUUCCACGUUGUCAUUCUUAACCUUUGGACAUACUCUUGAUCUGUGGACGUUUAUAUCGUGUCAGUUUCUUACGUACGAUAUACGACUAGCUGACGUUACGUGGUUCUUUCAAACUAAUUAUAAGGAAUAAAAAAAGAAAAAACUAUUUGAAAGGACACCGAUCACAGACAAAAAGUGCCAUUUAAAACUGGUUGUAUAGAAAUUGAAAUCUUUUUAGAUAGGCUGGAAGAGUCAGAUGUAAUCAACGAGCGACGAUCAUGAGCCCGUGACAAGCAAGCGAUAUUACGAUGCGAUAUUACGAUGCGAUAUUACGAUGCGAUAUUACGAUGCAAUCUUAUGACCCGUUUUCCAUGCUCGUAUUUACAAUAUUUGAGAACGUUAUUACCAACUGAAUAUGGCCUUCAAUACCGAAAUAACCAGUUUUCCUCGAAUCCUGACGGUUCAUUUUGAAAUAAAAACAAAAUCCAAUCGUCGAUAUUCGCGAAGUCUCAUUGGAAAAAUCGUCUCGAAAAUGUGUGCUGGAAAUUAUUGUUAGUUAUUAUGUAAACGCAUCGAAGAAAACGACUCUCGUGAAGUAAUCGUUUUUAAGUAUGUAUUUAUAAUUUCUAAGAUAACGAUCGAAAACAUGUUUUUCAGUGACGUUACGCAAAAUAAUACAAUUUUUUAUUGAAAUGAUCAGAACAAGAGAGUGAAACGAAGAGUAUAAAAAAUAAUAUGUAAUAAAAAAUAAAUGUUCUUGGAGCUCGACGCACGUAUGCUUAUUGCAUAUAUACAUAGGUAAAAAGUUUAAAUACGUUAGUGAAUUCGCUGAGUAAUCGAAGAAAAGGCCUUGUAGACUUGAGCGACAGUAAAACAGUUCAAAGCUCCCUCGCGGAGAUGUAAUAGUCACGUUCUUGGUUACGCGGGGGCAGCACUUGCUAGUCAUGGAUAUGCGAGAUAUGUUAUUUCUUUAACCCAAUCUUCGUUCACUUCUCGCAUUCUUACGUGCGAGUCGAGCUACGAGAUCUCUAUUUUUACACCUCGUUAUGUCAACGAUUACGAAGAACAUGAAAUUCUACACUAAGGAAGCUGUAUGAUAUAAAAGCAAAGAUCGUAUCUUAUAAAAACACGUUAUAACCUCUAAAAAAAAACAAACACCUUAUUUAUUACAAAUAUAUCCUUCGAUUAUUUCCCAUCG
This 1693-nucleotide long non-coding RNA is filed under the name Polistes fuscatus (common paper wasp). Its description in RNAcentral is "uncharacterized LOC122515802". Lineage: Eukaryota; Metazoa; Arthropoda; Insecta; Hymenoptera; Vespidae. The record is from RNAcentral.